Triticum aestivum (bread wheat) is the source of this 135-nucleotide non-coding RNA. Lineage: Eukaryota; Viridiplantae; Streptophyta; Magnoliopsida; Poales; Poaceae. The record is from Rfam.
UAUAUACUUCCUCCGUCCCAAAAUUUUUGUCCUAGAUUUGUCUAGAUACGGAUGUAUCUAACACUAAAACAUAAUUAGAUACAUCUGUAUUCAGACAAAUUUAAGACAAAAAUUUUAGGACAAAGGGAGUACAUC